RNAcentral lists this ribosomal RNA (516 nucleotides) under uncultured bacterium. RNAcentral describes it as "bacterial SSU rRNA". It matches the Rfam family "Bacterial small subunit ribosomal RNA", at positions 13 to 518 of the family's 1533-position model. The record is from RNAcentral.
UUGAUAUGGCUCAGGAUGAACGCUAGCUACAGGCUUAACACAUGCAAGUCGAGGGGCAGCAGGACGAUAGCUUGCUAUUGUUGCUGGCGACCGGCGCACGGGUGAGUAACGCGUAUCCAACCUUCCCCUUAGUAGGGCAUAGCCCGGUGAAAAUCGGAUUAAUACCCUAUGUUGUGUCAUGAGGACAUCUGAAUAACACUAAAGAUUUAUCGCUAAGGGAUGGGGAUGCGUCCGAUUAGGUAGUCGGCGGGGUAACGGCCCACCGAGCCCUCGAUCGGUAGGGGUUCUGAGAGGAAGGUCCCCCACACUGGUACUGAGACACGGACCAGACUCCUACGGGAGGCAGCAGUGAGGAAUAUUGGUCAAUGGGCGUAAGCCUGAACCAGCCAAGUAGCCGUGCAGGAUGACGGCCCUAUGGGUUGUAAACUGCUUUUAUACGGGGAUAAAGUGAGGGACGUGUCCCUUAUUGUAGGUACCGUAUGAAUAAGGACCGGCUAAUUCCGUGCCAGCAGCGGC